CAGGCAUUGCUGAGAGUAUCCCAGGGGUACCUGUCCCUGCUAGACAUGGAGCUCUCUCAUGGGCUGUAAUUGGGUGAUAAAAGUGGUGCUCCAAGUGCCAAAGAAGGGUGGGAUUGGGAUUAAGAAAUGAGCAGUGAUGGUGCAAUUGGCUGUUUUCUCUGGAAUGUGACUGUAAGAGCUGCAGGAGUGCAAGAUGUGUGUUCCAGUCCCCAGCAUUUGGUUUGCACAUGUCCUGCUCAGACACAGCUCCAACUUCCUCAGUCCUUAACACAAGAGAGGGAGAAUUAAGGACUGGCACUGUUAAGGAGAAAAUGGGGAAGCAGGAAGGAAGAAGAGAAGCCACGUGACUCCUCCCUGAGCCCCAGACAGCCCAGGAACUGCCUCCCUGGGAAUGGUAGGACGGGCUGGACUCUGGAAUGCUCCCUCUGGAUGUGUGGCUCUCCCCUGCAGGAACUCCAGGAACUCCUGGUGCCGCCUGGGCCGAUGGAUUGGACGCCCCAGCCCCUCCGUUCCUGCCCAGCCCCUGGGGCCGUGUCGAGUGGUGGCACUGCCAGCCCCUGCAGGUGAGGGGGAAAGGGCCUUUGCAGGUCUUGGGGAUCACAUUUAUAGCAGGUAAAGGGGCAGAAAAAGGCCCUGGAGUCUGUUAUUCUUGAGUUAAGAAAGCUCCUUUGGAUUGGUGAGCAGAACAAAGUGGAUCCUUCAGAGUUCCCAUGUGUGUUUGUGUCUCAGCCUGUGUUAUGAUUCAGGGCUGUCAGUUGUUGUCACUGAGGAGUCAAACUCUGCUUUAAAUAAUGAGACACUGGCCUGAUGGCCCAGUGUCAAG
Corapipo altera (White-ruffed manakin) is the source of this 823-nucleotide long non-coding RNA. RefSeq lists it as uncharacterized. The transcript has 3 exons. The record is from RefSeq and is a predicted model, not a curated record. Lineage: Eukaryota; Metazoa; Chordata; Aves; Passeriformes; Pipridae.